Molecule: long non-coding RNA, 301 nt
Filed under: Paramuricea clavata
Lineage: Eukaryota; Metazoa; Cnidaria; Anthozoa; Malacalcyonacea; Plexauridae
Source: RNAcentral
CUAAUGCUCGAUCUUUCUUUAGAAAAUCCAUUCUAUAGCUUAUUCUUUUGUCAUUGUCAUAAUCAACCAAUCACAGAACAUCUUCCUAGAGCUUCGUGCCGAUCCCAUAUAUUCCAUCAGCCUUAACAAAGACAGAAAAAGUUUCGUUACCAUGGGAUUCCUCCACGCCUUCGAUCAAUCCAGUGUGAUCCCAAUCAGGUCCAGUGUUUCUGGAAGGUGUACCUUCGGAAGUUCGUGCCCAUUCAAAGUCAUCAAAAGACGACUGUCGCCAUCCACAUGUGUUGUCUGUAAAGUCACAGUC